Molecule: non-coding RNA, 531 nt
Organism: Cucurbita pepo subsp. pepo (vegetable marrow)
Lineage: Eukaryota; Viridiplantae; Streptophyta; Magnoliopsida; Cucurbitales; Cucurbitaceae
Source: RefSeq, a predicted model, not a curated record
UCACUCAUUAAAUGACUGGCUGUUGACCAUACCUAUAGCCAUUUCCAUGUGGUCUGUCCAACAGUCAUCUUCCAUCAUUGCCUCAAUCUGCAAGUAAGUAGAGCAGCCAUUAUUGAUUUUCCUCUCCUAAAUGUAACUUUUAAAUUCCUUGCUGGUAUCCGGUUUCAAGAUUUGUAUCGGUCAGAACAAUGUGCAAUGGCAGAAGCGUACUCCCAGUAAGCUAUUCGUGGAAUAACUCAUCAUAUUUGGAAAUCAGAAUCCCUAUGAAUCCGCACAUUCCACAAAGUUGCAGCCUCGAGAGUCAGUUUAACACUUGAGGAUCAGGGAGUUAGUUCUCCUUCUCAAGUUAAAGAGGCUGUUCAAGUAUAUUUGAGGACGUCCUUGGUUGCGUAGGUGCAGUACAAAGUCGAGAAUGGGUGGUUUCUAGUUCCCAUCCCUUCUUCAUUUACAACCCACCACCAUAUAUCAACUUUGUGAUUGUAAAAAGUUCUGAUAGAGAGGGAGUAAAGAGAACAAUUUUCUUUUGCAUCA